UUUUAACUUCCAGUAACUUCAUAAAGUAAGGUGGGGUCGGUUCAAACUCGAGGUUGACUUUGAUGGCGAUUGUGUACAUAUAUAGAUUCUUGCAACUUAGAGUUGUAUAAAGAAGGUGGGGUCGUUUUUGGGGUUGUUCAGGUGCAUUUGGAGAGUUAUUCACUUUCGGAUGUUUUUUUUUAUCUCUUCCAAAAUUAACUAUUUAGCUUAGUAGGAUUUAUAUUUCUUUUAUUCCUUUAAACCGAUUUCUUAGCCAAAAAGUGGUUCCACAACCAAACAUCUACAAAAGGCACUGAGAAAAUUACAGCAACUUACUUAAGUCAUUAAUAAGUUACUGUAAAAUUUUGGGAACCAUUGGAUUACCAAAAAAAGAAUUAAACGUAUUUUACCACCAAGGCAUGCAUGUAACUAUUUUUAUUUCAAAACCUACAGUGAAUCUAAGGGUGAAAUUUUACC
This 456-nucleotide long non-coding RNA is filed under the name Setaria viridis. Its description in RNAcentral is "long non-coding RNA (SVIR_LNC007754)". The record is from RNAcentral. Lineage: Eukaryota; Viridiplantae; Streptophyta; Magnoliopsida; Poales; Poaceae.